UUUCUCUCUGCCUGACCUUUCAUUCCUGCCUCACAUGAUCGAGGGACGGAGAGCUGCCCUCCAGAUUCAUGGCACCCUCCCUGCCCAAGGUUGAGCAUCCCUUAUCUGAAAAUCCAAAAUCCAAAACUGUUUGAGCACUGACAUGACUUCUCAAGUGGAAAAUUUCACACAUAAGGCUUCAGACUUGGACUGGAGCUACACCCCCACCUCUCC
Molecule: long non-coding RNA, 213 nt
Organism: Chlorocebus sabaeus (green monkey)
Lineage: Eukaryota; Metazoa; Chordata; Mammalia; Primates; Cercopithecidae
Source: RefSeq, a predicted model, not a curated record